Molecule: long non-coding RNA, 264 nt
Filed under: Panax ginseng (ginseng)
Lineage: Eukaryota; Viridiplantae; Streptophyta; Magnoliopsida; Apiales; Araliaceae
Description: long non-coding RNA (PGIN_LNC002610)
Source: RNAcentral
UUUAUAAUUAGGGUUUCUUAACGUCAUCAAUUAGGGUUUCUAAUUGACCAUUAGAGUUCUCUAAUUAUCUGUGUGUGUUACUAACACAGUCGUUACGGUUUCUAACUUUAACCGAUUAAGGUUAUAAUAAUUAGGGUUUGUCCUAAUUAUCGACGAAAAAUAGUAAUUAGGGUUCCUUCUAAUUACCGACAUUCUUAUACACAGUAAACUUCAUAUACACAGUCACUACUCAGUCAUUUCUCAUAACUGAGUUUAAUAAUUAGG